CCACCCAUUGCGUCAUUGCAGGCUCAUGCCCUGUCUAUGAUGUUUCAUGUACGGUGGCUAAAUUUCACGCCUGGCCACAGAAGUAUCAUUUCUGUGCCUUUGCCAUUCAUGUCUUCUAAGCCUCCGAAAUAAGAGGAGCAGGACCAGAAGAAGAGCAGCCGUUGUUCUCUGCAGACAGACACAUUCUCUCACAUGUCCCCGGGGCCACAGACCUCUUUAUGUUCUAACUGGGUCUGCACAGAAGAGGCAGGAGACAGGCGGCUGAGCCAGAGGCCAACUGCAGAGGAACUGGAACAGAGGAACAUUUUGAAACCUCGGAAUGAACAAGAGGAACAGGAGGAGAAGAGAGAGAUCAAGAGGAGGCUAACCCGAAAGCUCAGUCAAAGGCCCACGGUGGAAGAGCUUCGGGAAAGAAAGAUCCUCAUCCGCUUCAGUGACUACGUGGAGGUGGCUGACGCUCAGGACUAUGACCGCAGGGCAGAUAAGCCGUGGACCCGCCUCACCGCUGCAGACAAAGCUGCCAUCCGAAAGGAGCUCAACGAAUUCAAAAGCACUGAGAUGGAAGUUC
Molecule: small RNA, 568 nt
Filed under: Pan troglodytes (chimpanzee)
Lineage: Eukaryota; Metazoa; Chordata; Mammalia; Primates; Hominidae
Description: processed transcript
Source: RNAcentral